This 116-nucleotide ribosomal RNA is filed under the name Coccotrema coccophorum. Its description in RNAcentral is "5.8S ribosomal RNA". It matches the Rfam family "5.8S ribosomal RNA", at positions 1 to 115 of the family's 154-position model. From Rfam's summary of the family: 5.8S ribosomal RNA (5.8S rRNA) is a component of the large subunit of the eukaryotic ribosome. It is transcribed by RNA polymerase I as part of the 45S precursor that also contains 18S and 28S rRNA. Functionally, it is thought that 5.8S rRNA may be involved in ribosome translocation. The record is from RNAcentral. Lineage: Eukaryota; Fungi; Ascomycota; Lecanoromycetes; Pertusariales; Coccotremataceae.
AAACUUUCAACAACGGAUCUCUUGGUUCUGGCAACGAUGAAGAACGCAGCGAAAUGCGAUAAGUAAUGUGAAUUGCAGAAUUCAGUGAAUCAUCAAAUCUUUGAACGCACAUUGCA